RNAcentral lists this ribosomal RNA (229 nucleotides) under uncultured bacterium. Its description in RNAcentral is "partial 16S ribosomal RNA". It matches the Rfam family "Bacterial small subunit ribosomal RNA", at positions 568 to 796 of the family's 1533-position model. The record is from RNAcentral.
CAUGUAGGCGGCAUGACAAGUCUGGUGUGAAAUAUCUCGGCUCAACCGAGAAAACGCACUGGAAACUGUCAAGCUUGAGUAUCAGAGGGGAAGAUAGAAUUCCUGGUGUAGGGGUGAAAUCUGUAGAUAUCAGGAAGAAUACCGGUGGCGAAGGCGAGCUUCUGGCCAGAUACUGACGCUGAGAUGCGAAAGCGUGGGGAGCGAACAGGAUUAGAUACCCUGGUAGUCC